This 442-nucleotide long non-coding RNA is filed under the name Pan troglodytes (chimpanzee). Its description in RNAcentral is "lincRNA". Lineage: Eukaryota; Metazoa; Chordata; Mammalia; Primates; Hominidae. The record is from RNAcentral.
AGAAGGUGGGCUUGGGAAGGCAGCCCGGGGUCCAAAUCCUCCUGACUCUUCAGCUUAGCGGGAUGUCACCUUCAGUGUCUGAAAGCUGGGUUUGAUGCGUCUGGAAAGGCGCCCCUGACAGGCGUCGUUGCCAGGAGCCCCUAGUGCCGCCCCCAGCCAGCAGGGGAGAGCGUCCUCUGCCCGCUCACUUCUGACCCUUCUCUCGUUGCACCCGGGACAUGGUGCAGCUGGGAGCAGCCUGGGCUGCGCGGAAGGCUCAGAUUUGGGGACGGCCCUUGCCAGUGACUGUGAGCUGGGGUGUCUUGGAAACUCCCAGUCUCAGCUUCUCCAUUUAUAAGAUGAGAAUGAUCAUACCAGCCUCAGGCAAGGUUGUUUGUGCAUUAGUGAAAUCAGACGUAUCAAAUAAAGUACCACAUUGAUCGUGGAGUUGUUGAAUAACCAA